CCUACGGGUGGCAGCAGUGAGGAAUAUUGGUCAAUGGCCGAGAGGCUGAACCAGCCAAGUCGCGUGAGGGAUGACGGCCCUACGGGUUGUAAACCUCUUUUGUCGGGGAGCAAAGAGAGUCAUGUGUGGCUCAUUGUGAGUACCCGAAGAAAAAGCAUCGGCUAACUCCGUGCCAGCAGCCGCGGUAAUACGGAGGAUGCGAGCGUUAUCCGGAUUUAUUGGGUUUAAAGGGUGCGCAGGCGGAGGUGCAAGUCAGUGGUCAAAUUGCGGGGCGCAACCCCGUACUGCCGUUGAAACUGCAUGCCUUGAGUGCGCGAGAAGUAGGCGGAAUGCGUGGUGUAGCGGUGAAAGGCAUAGAUAUCACGCAGAACUCCGAUUGCGAAGGCAGCAUACCGGCGCGCAACUGACGCUGAUGCACGAAAGCGUGGGUAUCGAACAGGAUUAGAUACCCGUGUAGUC
This 459-nucleotide ribosomal RNA is filed under the name uncultured bacterium. RNAcentral describes it as "partial 16S ribosomal RNA". It matches the Rfam family "Bacterial small subunit ribosomal RNA", at positions 338 to 795 of the family's 1533-position model. The record is from RNAcentral.